UUCCUCAUGGAAAUCCUCCUGAAAGCCAUCACCCUGUUCCAAACAUGGAUGGCCAGAGUUCUUUGAUACCAGGGUAGAGCAUAUAACAAUAUGACCAAUUGAUGAACUUGCUACUACAAACUCAAUUAGGGGACUCCACUGCCAUACCCUCCUCCCAUGUAUGCUGCCAAUUUUGCUGGUACUAUGCUAACUGAGAGCCCUGUUUCUGAU
This 210-nucleotide long non-coding RNA is filed under the name Nicotiana benthamiana. Its description in RNAcentral is "long non-coding RNA (NBEN_LNC000311)". Lineage: Eukaryota; Viridiplantae; Streptophyta; Magnoliopsida; Solanales; Solanaceae. The record is from RNAcentral.